AUACGUAGGGGGCAAGCGUUGUCCGGAUUUAUUGGGCGUAAAGGGUGCGCAGGCGGCCUUUUAAGUCAGGUGUGAAAGGUCACGGCUCAACCGUGGUAAGCACUUGAAACUGGAAGGCUUGAGUUAAGGAGAGGAAAGUGGAAUUCCUAGUGUAGCGGUGAAAUGCGUAGAUAUUAGGAGGAAUACCAGUGGCGAAGGCGACUUUCUGGACUUAUACUGACGCUGAGGCACGAAAGCGUGGGGAGCGAACAGGAUUAGAUACCCUGGUAGUCCACGCCGUAAACGAUGAGCGCUAGGUGUUGGGGGUCAAACCUCGGUGCCGCAGCUAACGCAUUAAGCGCUCCGCCUGGGGAGUACGUGCGCAAGCAUGAA
This 372-nucleotide ribosomal RNA is filed under the name uncultured bacterium. RNAcentral's name for it is "bacterial SSU rRNA". It matches the Rfam family "Bacterial small subunit ribosomal RNA", at positions 523 to 898 of the family's 1533-position model. The record is from RNAcentral.